AAGACUAUAGACCUGCGGAGUACCUGCGGAGGGAUCAUUAAAGAGUUUAACUACUCAAACCAUUGUGAACCUUACCUCAACCGUUGCUUCGGCGGGCGGGCCCGGGCCAAGCCCGGCGCCCCCCCGGCCCCUCGCGGGCGCCCGCCGGAGGUUAACCGAACCCUUGAAUUGUAUGGCCUCUCUGAGUCUUCUGUACUGAAUAAGUCAAAACUUUCAGCAACGGAUCUCUAGAUCGGAAGA
Molecule: unclassified non-coding RNA, 240 nt
Filed under: soil metagenome
Description: partial contains 5.8S ribosomal RNA, internal transcribed spacer 2, and large subunit ribosomal RNA
Source: RNAcentral